This is a long non-coding RNA of Oxyura jamaicensis (ruddy duck), 286 nucleotides long. RefSeq lists it as uncharacterized. The record is from RefSeq and is a predicted model, not a curated record. Lineage: Eukaryota; Metazoa; Chordata; Aves; Anseriformes; Anatidae. The transcript is spliced from 2 exons.
GCAGCAUUACAGGCUGGAAGUCACCACUUCCAGCGACACAAUUCCCAGUAACUCACUUAAACAAGGAGACCUAGAUUUGCACAGAAUACAUGAUAACGCAUAAAUACGACAUUCACUCAAAAGUGGUUUUCAAGGCUUUUUGAAGCCAGCCUCGCAGGGCUUUAAAGGAAACUACAACCACUGUGUUAUCUGUUGGACUUGGUCUUUGACAUAACAGCUUGGCGUACUGGCGCGAUCAAUCAGAAUCACCUUGUCCACCUUCUCAGACAAGUACUUAUUACUAAAA